CAGCAGUAGGGAAUCUUCCUCAAUGCACGAAAGUCUAAUGGAGCACAGCCGCGUGAGCCAUGAAGCAGCAAGGCUGCGAAGCUAUGCAUCCUUGUACUGUAUACUCUCUAUCUGCGAGGAUGACAGUACUCAGAGUAGCAUCUGCUACA
RNAcentral lists this ribosomal RNA (149 nucleotides) under uncultured Bacillus sp. RNAcentral's name for it is "partial 16S ribosomal RNA". Lineage: Bacteria; Bacillati; Bacillota; Bacilli; Caryophanales; Bacillaceae. The record is from RNAcentral.